ACGGAGGGUGCAAGCGUUAUCCGGAUCCACUGGGUUUAAAGGGUGCGUAGGCGGGCAGGUAAGUCAGUGGUGAAAUCUUUGGGAUUAACCCGAAAACUGCCAUUGAUACUAUCUGUCUUGAAUAUUGUGGAGGUGAGCGGAAUAUGUCAUGUAGCGGUGAAAUGCUUAGAUAUGACAUAGAACACCCAUUGCGAAGGCAGCUCACUACGCAUAUACUGACGCUGAGGCACGAAAGCGUGGGGAUCAAACAGGAUUAGAUACCCUGGUAGUCCACGCCCUAAACGAUGAUUACUCGACAUACGCGAUACACAGUGUGUGUCUGAGCGAAAGCAUGAAGUAAUCCACCUGGGAAGUACGAUCGCAAGAUUG
RNAcentral lists this ribosomal RNA (369 nucleotides) under uncultured bacterium. RNAcentral describes it as "bacterial SSU rRNA". It matches the Rfam family "Bacterial small subunit ribosomal RNA", at positions 525 to 896 of the family's 1533-position model. The record is from RNAcentral.